UUUACAUGCUGGGUAAACUCCCUCACCAUUCUGUCAGUGUCCAUGUGGCUGAACUGUUUCCAGAAAAGAGCCUCCUGUUUCCUCACAGCUCAGACAUGAAGUCUAUUCUCACUUCAGUGCUUGUGAUGAUAUUCACACUCAGAGGAACAAGAGCCCAGACAGUGACUCAGCCUGACGACCACAUCUCAGUCUUUGAAGGAGCCCCAGUAGAGGUGAAGUGCAGCUACUCAUAUUCUGGGAGCCCUGAACUCUUCUGGUAUGUCCAGUACCCCAAACAAGGCCUCCAGUUACUCCUGAAACACAUCUCAAGAGAGAGCAUCAAAGGUUUCACAGCCACCCUUGACAAAAGUGGGGCGUCCUUCCAUCUGAAGAAACCAUCAGCUCAAGAGGAAGACUCAGCCACGUAUUACUGUGCUCUGAGGGCCACAGUAAUUGGUUUUACAAAGGAAGCAGAGCACAAACCCCUUGGGAGCCACAGCAAAUACUUCAUUGUAAGUUCUCUACGUGGCCACAGUGGGGCACUCUCUCUCUAGAGACUGUAUUGUACCUCUUAGGUACAAUAUCAUUAGUUGUCAAUUACCUAGAGAUUAACCUCAAAAAUGUGUCCAAGA
This is a non-coding RNA of Hipposideros armiger (great roundleaf bat), 611 nucleotides long. The record is from the annotation of a RefSeq genome assembly. NCBI's taxonomy places the organism in Eukaryota, Metazoa, Chordata, Mammalia, Chiroptera, Hipposideridae.